AAGGCCCUGGCUUGUUCGCCAGCCGCUCACAUCGUGAACCAAUACAAACGCCUCGGGAGCUGAUCUCGGGUGUGGCCCGAGUGCCACGUCUGGUAGGCACCCACCUGUUCAUCCAGGUUCGCAGGCUGAGCGGUAACGGCAGGUCGGGGCCCUU
Molecule: non-coding RNA, 154 nt
Filed under: Actinomycetota bacterium
Lineage: Bacteria; Bacillati; Actinomycetota
Description: 6S RNA
Rfam family: 6S / SsrS RNA
About the family: E. coli 6S RNA was the first non coding RNA to be sequenced, but its function was unknown until recently. It consists of 184 nucleotides that fold into an extended hairpin structure with a large single-stranded internal bulge.
Source: RNAcentral